GACGUAGGGUGCAAGCGUUGUCCGGAUUUACUGGGCGUAAAGAGCGCGUAGGCGGUCUUGUAAGUGUGAAGUGAAAUCUCCAGGGCUCAACCCGGAAACUGCUUUGCAUACUGCGAGACUUGAGGGAUGCAGAGGUUUGUGGAAUUCCUGGUGUAGCGGUGAAAUGCGUUGAUAUCAGGAGGAACACCCAUGGCGAAGGCAGCAAACUGGGCAUCAUCUGACGCUGAGGCGCGAAAGCGUGGGUAGCAAACAGG
RNAcentral lists this ribosomal RNA (254 nucleotides) under uncultured bacterium. RNAcentral's name for it is "partial 16S ribosomal RNA". It matches the Rfam family "Bacterial small subunit ribosomal RNA", at positions 524 to 776 of the family's 1533-position model. The record is from RNAcentral.